GCCUCUCUUCUCUAGAUUUGAGUAUUUGCUUCACCUCUAUUCAUAUAAAACAGUGUACUUAGAGAUGGAUUGAAGACGCAUCAGUGUACUUAGAGAUGGGUCUUUUGCUUUCACAGGAUGGAUCCAAACUCAACUUCUUUACUGAAAAUCAAAUUGCUUGGCAACCCCCAAAAAGCUAGGAAGGAUAUCAAAUGCUUUUGUUAUGAUAAGGUUAUUGAUUCCGACUGACAUUGCUGGUAGGCCAUGGAUUCUUCAUGUUUCCACACUGCUAAAAGCCACAGUGGGUAGGCCUAAAACUGAGAGGUAUAAAGGUUGCGGUGAGAAAAAAAAGAAAAAGCGGCCAACACUUAUGCCCUAUUUGUAAGGACUAUGGGCAUCAUUGGCACAAAUUCAAGAAGGGUAACCCAGAUGACAUUGCUGCUAUUUUAGCUGUGAGAGGACCACCAAAGAAGAGGACAAAGACCACCAAAUCAGCUCAAUCAUCAAUUGUGCCUUGUGAGGAUGAUGCUCCAUCAGCCAUGUGUUUUCCGCCAAGCCAAAUCUUGGAGAAACAAAUAAGGAAAAAGGGAAAGGUGGUAAAUCUUGGACCAGGAGGAGCAAAAAGAUCAAGAACGCAACCCAUUUGUGGUGAACAUGAUGUCGCCAACAAGAAAACACAUGUUGCUGUGAACACACGAAGCAAACGAAGACUUAGUUUGUGAUUCUGAUGUGAUUACUUUCCGUAUCAUGUUUCAUUUGGAAACUUUUGAGCUGUUUAUAUGACCUGGGCACUUCUACGUACUAUAUGUAACCUUUUGUGGACCUGGACUAUUGCAUGUCACAUUUAUGUGUGUGGAGGACCAAAUAUAUGGAUUGUUUGCAUA
Molecule: non-coding RNA, 863 nt
Organism: Aegilops tauschii subsp. strangulata
Lineage: Eukaryota; Viridiplantae; Streptophyta; Magnoliopsida; Poales; Poaceae
Source: RefSeq, a predicted model, not a curated record